This 22-nucleotide non-coding RNA is filed under the name Arabidopsis thaliana (thale cress). The record is from RNAcentral. Lineage: Eukaryota; Viridiplantae; Streptophyta; Magnoliopsida; Brassicales; Brassicaceae.
UUGUAGGAACUAUGCGAGUGAG